UACGGAGGGUGCGAGCGUUGUCCGGAAUCACUGGGCGUAAAGGGCGCGUAGGCGGCCUGGUAAGUAGGGGGUGAAAUCCUGCGGCUCAACCGCAGGGCUGCCUUCUAAACUGUCAGGCUCGAGCACGGUAGAGGCAGAUGGAAUUCCCGGUGUAGCGGUGGAAUGCGUAGAGAUCGGGAAGAACAUCAGUGGCGAAGGCGGUCUGCUGGGCCGUUGCUGACGCUGAGACGCGAAAGCGUGGGGAGCAAACAGG
This 253-nucleotide ribosomal RNA is filed under the name uncultured bacterium. RNAcentral's name for it is "partial 16S ribosomal RNA". It matches the Rfam family "Bacterial small subunit ribosomal RNA", at positions 524 to 776 of the family's 1533-position model. The record is from RNAcentral.